Molecule: ribosomal RNA, 894 nt
Filed under: uncultured Chloroflexaceae bacterium
Lineage: Bacteria; Bacillati; Chloroflexota; Chloroflexia; Chloroflexales; Chloroflexaceae
Description: bacterial SSU rRNA
Rfam family: Bacterial small subunit ribosomal RNA
Source: RNAcentral
GUGGCGCACGGCUGAGUAACACGUGGGAACCCGCCCCCCGGUGGGGGAUAACGCGACGAAAGUCGCGUAAUCCCGCAUACGUCCGCAGGGGGAAAGCGCUUCGGCGCGCCGGGGGAGGGUGCCUGCGUCCAUCAGGUCGUUGGUGGGGUAACGGCCUACCAAGCCGAUGACGGGUAGCUGGUCUGGCAGGAUGACCAGCCAGACUGGGACUUAGACACGGCCCAGACUCCUACGGGAGGCAGCAGCAAGGAAUUUUCGGCAAUGGGCGCAAGCUGGACCCAGCAACGCCGCGUGCGGGAUGACGGCCUUCGGGUUGUAAACCGCUUUUCGGGGGGACGAUGAUGACGGUACCCCCGGAACAACCCCGGCUAACUCUGUGCCACCAUCCGCGGUAAGACAGAGGGGGCGAGCGUUGUCCCCAGUCACUCGGCGUAAAGCGCGCGAGCGGUCGCCAAAUGUCGUGUGAAAGCCCCGGCUCAACCGGGGAGGCAUGGAAACUGGCGACCUGGAGCGCCGGAGAGGCCCUGAAUUGCCGGUGUAGCGGUGAAAUCGUAGAGAUUGGCAGGACGCCAAGGGGAAGCCAGGGGGCUGGCCGCUGGUGACGCUGAGGCGCGACAGCGUGGGGUAGCGAACCGGAUUAGAUCCCCGGGUAGUCCACGCCGUAAACGAUGACCACUCGGCGUGCGGCGACUAUUGACGUCGCGGUGCGCCUUAGCUCACGCGCUAAGUGGUCCGCCUGGGAACUACGAGCGCAAGCUUAAAACUCAAAGGAAUUGACGGGGGCCCGCACAAGCAGCGGACCGUGUGGUUUAAUUCGAGGCAACCCGAAGAACCUUACCCAGGCUUGACAUGACGGUGCACACGGCGCAAACGCCGUCGCCUGCGAGGGGCCGU